Molecule: ribosomal RNA, 315 nt
Filed under: uncultured eukaryote
Lineage: Eukaryota
Description: partial 18S ribosomal RNA
Rfam family: Eukaryotic small subunit ribosomal RNA
Source: RNAcentral
CCCUUAGACGUUCUGGGCCGCACGCGCGCUACACUGACCAGUGCAACAAGCAUCCGUCCUUGGCCGACAGGCCCGGGCAAUCUUUGAACGCUGGUCGUGAUGGGGAUAGACUUUUGCAAUUUUUGGUCUUCAACGAGGAAUUCCUAGUAAACGCAAGUCAUCAACCUGCAUUGAUUACGUCCCUGCCCUUUGUACACACCGCCCGUCGCACCUACCGAUUGAAUGGUCCGGUGAAGCCUCCGGAUUGGCGCGCACCUCGGUGCCGCCGAGAAGUUGGCUAAACCUUACCAUUUAGAGGAAGGUGAANUCGUAACA